UACGGAGGAUCCGAGCGUUAUCCGGAUUUAUUGGGUUUAAAGGGUGCGUAGGCGGCUUGAUAAGUUAGAGGUGAAAUUUCGGUGCUUAACAUCGAAACUGCCUCUGAUACUGUCGAGCUAGAGAAUAGUUGCAGAAGGCGGAAUGAGUAGUGUAGCGGUGAAAUGCUUAGAUAUUACUCAGAACACCGAUUGCGAAGGCAGCUUUCUAAGCUAUAUCUGACGCUGAGGCACGAAAGCGUGGGGAGCAAACAGG
This 253-nucleotide ribosomal RNA is filed under the name uncultured bacterium. RNAcentral describes it as "partial 16S ribosomal RNA". It matches the Rfam family "Bacterial small subunit ribosomal RNA", at positions 524 to 776 of the family's 1533-position model. The record is from RNAcentral.